This 232-nucleotide ribosomal RNA is filed under the name uncultured bacterium. RNAcentral describes it as "partial 16S ribosomal RNA". It matches the Rfam family "Bacterial small subunit ribosomal RNA", at positions 546 to 776 of the family's 1533-position model. The record is from RNAcentral.
CGGAAUUACUGGGCGUAAAGGGCGCGUAGGCGGUCUUCUAAGUCUUGUGUGAAAUCCCUCGGCUCAACUGAGGAACUGCACGGGAUACUGGAAGACUUGAGUUCGGGAGAGGGAAGCGGAAUUCCGGGUGUAGCGGUGAAAUGCGUAGAUAUCCGGAGGAACACCGGUGGCGAAGGCGGCUUCCUGGACCGAUUACUGACGCUGAGGCGCGAAAGCUAGGGGAGCAAACGGG